CAGAGUAAGGACAGCGCGUCAAGUGCCGGCGGAUGGGAUGUUGCCACCGGACGAAAAGCCCGGGAGGCUUGCGUUGCUGAUUCUGCGUCCGCUGC
RNAcentral lists this non-coding RNA (95 nucleotides) under pig gut metagenome. Its description in RNAcentral is "THF riboswitch". It matches the Rfam family "THF (Tetrahydrofolate) riboswitch aptamer". Rfam says of the family: THF riboswitch presents a pseudoknot that joins P1-P2 and the loop of P3 and two THF binding. The record is from RNAcentral.